AUUGAACGCUGGCGGCAUGCCUUACACAUGCAAGUCGAACGGCAGCACGGGAGCAAUCCUGGUGGCGAGUGGCGAACGGGUGAGUAAUAUAUCGGAACGUGCCCAGUCGUGGGGGAUAACGCAGCGAAAGCUGUGCUAAUACCGCAUACGAUCUACGAAUGAAAGCGGGGGAUCGCAAGACCGCGCGCGAUUGGAGCGGCCGAUAUCAGAUUAGCUAGUUGGUGAGGUAAAGGCCCACCAAGGCGACGAUCUGUAGCUGGUCUGAGAGGACGACCAGCCACACUGGAACUGAGACACGGUCCAGACUCCUACGGGAGGCAGCAGUGGGGAAUUUUGGACAAUGGGCGCAAGCCUGAUCCAGCAAUGCCGCGUGCAGGAUGAAGGCCUUCGGGUUGUAAACUGCUUUUGUACGGAGCGAAACGGUCUUUCCUAAUACGAGAGGCUAAUGACGGUACCGUAAGAAUAAGCACCGGCUAACUACGUGCCAGCAGCCGCCGUAA
RNAcentral lists this ribosomal RNA (500 nucleotides) under uncultured bacterium. RNAcentral's name for it is "partial 16S ribosomal RNA". It matches the Rfam family "Bacterial small subunit ribosomal RNA", at positions 30 to 523 of the family's 1533-position model. The record is from RNAcentral.